GGCGGAGGGUGAGAAACGGGGGCACCGGUUGGCAGAGGGGAAACAUCGGGAACCGGAGCUAAUACCGGAUAACACCGAAAACCGCAGGGUUUUCGGUUGAAAGGCGGCUUUUAGCUGUAACGGCAGGAUGGGCUCGCGGCGCAUUACCUAGUUGGUGAGGUAACGGCUCACCAAGGCAACAAUGCGUACCCAACCUGAAAGGGUGACCGGCCACACUGGGACUGAAACACGGCCCAAACUCUU
This 243-nucleotide ribosomal RNA is filed under the name Geobacillus sp. Its description in RNAcentral is "partial 16S ribosomal RNA". It matches the Rfam family "Bacterial small subunit ribosomal RNA", at positions 104 to 340 of the family's 1533-position model. The record is from RNAcentral. Lineage: Bacteria; Bacillati; Bacillota; Bacilli; Caryophanales; Anoxybacillaceae.